Molecule: long non-coding RNA, 666 nt
Filed under: Marmota monax (woodchuck)
Lineage: Eukaryota; Metazoa; Chordata; Mammalia; Rodentia; Sciuridae
Source: RNAcentral
CCGCAGGCCACCUGGAACUGGAAACCAUCCUGCCUCAGCCUCCCAAGGCUGGGGUCAUAGUCAGGUGCUGCUGGGCCCUGCUACUCUGGGCUCUUACCUCUGAAGGGGGUGUGACUGCAUGAGCCCUGGGGAGAGAGGCUCUGCAGUGCUCCUGGCCGUGGCUUCCUCCAUCCAUCCAUUCCUCCAGCGGGGACCUCUGGUCCCUGACCUGGCACUAGGGACACACCCUGAAGAAGGCAGGCAAGGUCUGGGUGUACAGGGAUGGAGAAGGAAGACAGAACACUGCUAGGCAGACACGAAGAGGCUUUUCAACAGCCACACUGCGGCCCAAGAUCCCUUCAUCCCUACCCAGCAAGAGGCUCUGGGAGCUGAAGCCAGAUGGACCCAAGAGGCUGUAGUGACACUAGCACUGUCCAUGCCCCUGCUGGGGGCACCUGGGAGCCAAGAGCACUGCCCAUGGCAGUAUAAGAGCACGGGCGGCUCACAUCAGCAGCCCCAGAGUCAGCCCUCACCACGUCCUCCACUUGUCUUGGCAGCUGGGCACCUUCUGAGCACGGGUGCCCUGGAUGCUUGCCUUGAAUCGCUGGGAACAGGAGCAGCUCACUCACCUGCCUUCCAGGUGUGGGGCUUGCAGGGGGGAAAGGGGGACACAGAACUGUUUCCAGG